AGCGCUCUGACUCCAUUCACUUCAGAGUCCUACACAGUCAAGGAGCUGUGCAGACUGCUGCAAGACAGGCUCUGGAUAGCACAACACGGACAACUUUCUCCCUUGUGAUUUUCUGAGAGGAUCUGUUCGUUUGGAUUAUAUUCUUUUAGGACUAUUAAAUACAAUCAAAGAAAAAUAGUCGUGCGUCUUAAGUACUGUCUAAUUCUAACAUUGUCCAAAAGAAGGGGAGCUGCUUUUUUUUUUAUUUGUUUUUUGAUAUCAAAGUGAACUGGGCUGAAGUUUGAAGCCUAUUUGUUAAAGGGUGAAGGACAAGUGCAAUGCGUGUCAGACUUGUCUCUUGGGAUUGUCACACUUGCGCCUGAGGAGCUAUGUCGAGCUGCUGCGCAGAGCUUGUUCAAGAGGACGCAGUCCAAUGUGAAUAACAAGAGUCAACUUCAAGCCUCUUCAGCUUUUCACACUUCCAAGCAAGUGCAGCACGGAGUUUCACCGAGCCCGCUGAGCAGCUCUGACACCCCGGUUUCUCUCCCCCCGGAGGGGAUGGUUGUGGAUCCUCUGGGGCCAGGAGCGACUCUGGGGCUCCUACAGAAGAGCACAUUUUUCUUGUUUGGGGUUCAUUCUAAAUUAAAGGGAGAUGAGAGCCGCUCUUUGUUACUUCCUGCUGUGGACGGCGUACCUGCUGCUGGCCACUGCUGAGGAAGUGGAGUUUCCCCAGGAGCUGAUAGACAGACUGUCCCACAGUGAAAUCCACAGCAUCAGCGACCUCCAGCGGCUACUGGAGAUUGACUCCGUAGGUACGGGAAACGAUGUUAUCGAGGAGCCCAAGCACCACAAACACCACAACCACCAUAAGAACUACUCCCGUCAUCACGGUCACUACAAUGACCUGAAGAGCUCGCAGCUCCACAGUCGACGCAAGAGGAGUAUCGUCGAGGAGGCGGUCCCGGCGGUGUGCAAGACGCGGACGGUGAUCUACGAGAUCCCCAGGAGCCAGGUGGAUCCCACGUCUGCCAACUUCCUGAUAUGGCCGCCAUGUGUGGAGGUGAAGCGCUGCACGGGCUGCUGCAACACCAGCAACAUGCGCUGUCACCCUUCCCGCAAGCACCACCGCACCGUUAAGGUGGCCAAGGUGGAGUAUGUGAGGAGGAGACCCAAGCUGAAAGAGGUCUUUGUGCGGUUAGAAGACCACCUGGAGUGUGUGUGCACGUCACAACAUCAUGUGGUGGAGCACUCAGACGCAGAAACAGGCCACCGUAGGGCUAAAGCUAAAAAAAGGAAACCUAAAAAGCUAAGGCCCAGCAAGGAUUUAUUGGCGACAUAAUAAAGUUGCACUCAUUACCCAAAGUCCACUGGAGAGCUGUGAAGGGAACAGUGGACGUGAGGUGAGACCAAUCAGAACAAGGGACUCCAGCAUGGGAGGGACCUAAGUAGAGGAUGUUACCAACAGGAGACCUGCUCUGUCCUCUUCCCCACCGCCAUGCAACCUUCGUUUGGAAAAAAACAAAACAAUUCUGUACAGACAAGAGACUGAAAAAUAGGCAACAGACAAAAAUGAAUAAGAUGCCAAAGGUGCUUUUUUUCCUAAAAAAAAAAAACCCAAAACAAAACAAAAACCAGUGAUGUUGACUUCCUCUGUGGUACGCCACCUACCCAGACAACUGAACCCUGUCGCUGAUUAAGAAGUGAAGAGAAAUAUGCUGUGGAGCUUGAGCAGGGAAGAAAGAGGCCGAAGGGGAGAUGAUGAAAAGGAUUUGUGUUGAACAUUUUGACAGACUUUGUUUGAACAUGACGCACAACAGAAACGGCUAUGAAACGGUUGGAUCAAGCUUUCGUGGGAAUCUGGUGCUCAAACUCGAAAAGCAGCGGUGGAUGACCUCCUGCUGGGCAACAUAAAAGUGCCCUGCCCUGUUUAAAUGACUCUUGCAUACACAGGAAGAAAGAAAGAGAGAUAUAGGAAAACAAUGGAAAGCGCUGGAGUUGUGGAGGUGUUUUUUUUUUUGUUUGUUUGUUUUUUUCAAAAGACUCUAUGGAGCAUCAAACAUUUUGAGUUUUUGGACGUUUGUUCUGAGGUAUUCUUCUCUGAGACCCCUAGUGGUCUGUGACUUUGCCCACCUGCUAUGUACAGUCUGAAAAGGAUGCACGGCUACUUACAAACUAUUUAUACAUGUGGACGUUUGCUUUCUGUCUUUUCCAAUACAAAAGAAAGAAAGAACAGAAAAGGUGUUUUUAUGAUUUUGGAGACAUGAAAGAGUCCUGUGUGGUCCGGUUCUGUGUAACCAUCAGUAUCACGAUCUCAAUGUCAUUUUUUUAGUCAUUGUUAUUCUUGUCAUCCAUGUUUCUUAUUAUAUUACAGUAUAUCUGAAUGAUGUCAAGUCUUGUAAAUGGUUUGAAUAUAUGUGCAAGGAGGAGAUGUGAGAGUCAGUACAGGAAGAUGCUUUAUUUUUGUUAUGAAAUAUAUUAUGCUUACUUAUAUCCAA
Seriola aureovittata is the source of this 2474-nucleotide RNA transcript. It is a transcript of the gene named platelet-derived growth factor alpha polypeptide b, with no coding region annotated. The record is from RefSeq and is a predicted model, not a curated record. The transcript has 7 exons. Lineage: Eukaryota; Metazoa; Chordata; Actinopteri; Carangiformes; Carangidae.